GCCCGGGUGGCGGAAUGGCAGACGCGGAGGUCUCAAAAACCUUUGUCGAGAGACGUGUGGGUUCGACUCCCACCCCGGGCACCA
RNAcentral lists this transfer RNA (84 nucleotides) under Actinomycetes bacterium. Its description in RNAcentral is "tRNA-Leu". It matches the Rfam family "tRNA". From Rfam's summary of the family: Transfer RNA (tRNA) molecules are approximately 80 nucleotides in length. Their secondary structure includes four short double-helical elements and three loops (D, anti-codon, and T loops). Lineage: Bacteria; Bacillati; Actinomycetota; Actinomycetes. The record is from RNAcentral. RNAcentral also lists the same sequence under 1 other name.